GCGCGCCGCCGUACCUGAGCCGCCUGCUGACAGGGUCCAUCUUCCAGGAACCGGGCGAUGAGGAAGUAGAGCUCUGCGCGGGAGAGAGGGACGGGGAGACACACAGGCUGAGCGGUCGGGCGGCGGGGGGCGGGGGACCGCGGGCGGAAUCGCCCGGUGCCAGCGGCCCCGGCAGCCCCCCGACUUACCCGAUCGCAGCUCCGAGAGGCCUUUCCUCUCACAAGACAUGUUUAUGGGUCACUUCAGGGCCGCCGACGGGACACCCCGCCGCCGAGGGGAAGCGGGGACGGUGCCGCCGCCUGCCCUAUAGCUGUCAGUGUGUGUUCACGAGCCGAGCUUCGGCUCCACCAUUCAAGCAACGGCGGCGGAGGCGGAGGAGGAGGAGGAGGAAACAACAACUCUCAGGCAGCGACUACGGCCGUGGCCGCCUCCGCCGCGGAUCCCUCCGCCGCAGAAAGGAGUCCGCCGCCUUCGCGGCCCAGGGCUCGGCCCCGGCUCUGGCCCGCGCCCCCGCCCCCCGGCGCUAAAAAAGGAGUGCCUCCGACCCCUCGUCCCCAGCGCUCCGCACGCGGCACAGUGAGACCCCCACCCGCUCCUCCCCGCAGGGCGUGCGAUUUAUUUAUUUAUUUCCAGUCGGAGAAGAUGUCGGAGCCCAAGCCGCCGGUUGGCUGGAAGGCGCUUUCUCUGUGGAGGCCGAUAGUGGCAGGGAGGGGGCCGGGGACGGUUCCGCGGAGGGAUCUGACGCACACGGAGCCGCAGCACAGGCUCUAUUCAGCGGCGCUGGCUGGAGCUGAGAUGGAAGUUAGUUUCUAUGUAGCAGAAAUAUGAAACAAAUGAAGCAAAACUGCCCAGAGAGGGGAAAUGCCCCAAGGAUGGGUCUCACUCACGCGCGUACACAGACACACACGCAGAGAGCACUCUCACGCUGGGCAAGCUCGGGAUCGCGCUACCCUUCCCGAGUUGAAUGAUAGUGUUUGGUUUCUGUCUCUUGCCAUGUGCAUGUGUAUAAAUGCUGCGGAUUGGCAUCUGUGUAAGUCUUGUCCUGCGUUAUUUCUGCAGCCUAUGCAAGUGUUGUGUAAUUUAUUGGAGUGCUGUAUAUUGCAAUAGAGGUUUGGGCUGCUUUUUGUUAAGCACUUGCGUUUUGCAAACCCGUUAUUUGCUGAAGCCACCUCUGCAUAUUUCUUUUAUUACUGCCAUUGCCUUUGGCGUACGUUUUUUAAAUGUUUUUUAUUGUUAAACGGGCAAAGCGAACUCUUGAUUUGUACUUCAGAUACUCUUUUUCCUUAUUACAAAAAGGCUAGUGAUGGCUAAUUAGGUAUUUGGAAUUAAAGAACCUUAAAGCUUUUUUAAGUGUUUACGAGAAGGGAGAAUGUAAACCUGAGGGAAAGGAAAGGACGCUAAUAUUCAUGUCUAACUGAUCUGGAGGUAAUUUAGUGACAGAUCGAUAACCUGCCUAAGGAUAUUGAAAGAGUAUACUACAGUUUAGCCAAGGUGAAUAGUGAUUAAAUAAUUUAAAUAAUCUGUGUAUCUUGCAGUUGACUUCGUCAUGCUAAUUAAUGGCUUCUAAUUUGAGAUGUAAACCAUUCCUGUUUACAGUUAAUCACGGGAAGACUUCUUGAAAACUGACGAAAAGGAGAAAAAAAAAUCUUUCGUAAAUUAGUAUGUAAUUACCGAUUUUAUAUGCUAAAUCAUACAUCUGUGUUUUGCUGAUGAGGAUAAGGGCCUUGUUUUUAAAAAAACGAAUAUGGGUGAAAUUAAUGGAAACAAUAGAAAAAGCCAUUUGUUAGAAAACAAGGACACCAAAUGAUAUUUAUCUCCAGAUGAUUUAAGCACUUUCCAAAAAGACUUGAGAGUUCAAUAUUUUUUAAGGAUUGCAUUUUAAAGGGAAUUUGGAUAGUCGUUCUUUUGUUAACAUUUAACAAAAGAUUCUCCUUAAAAAUGUUAGAUAAUAAACUGCAUUUUAUGGGUCUGGUUUAAAAAGGUUAUUUGUGGGGAAAGGACCAACAAGCUGUAUUGUGGUUUUCUAGAUUGUUUCCUCAAGCCUUGUAACCUCCUAGCUCCUUACAUUCCUAGUGGGAAAUACUUGCUGCAAAUGCCUUGGGCUGCACUGUAAGCCCAAGUGUGCUGCACCAGUGUGAUGCCCUAUACUAAAACAUCCAGAAAUCAUCAUACAUAUGAGGAAGAAGAAAUAAAGCCUCAAACCCUUUGGAAUAAUAGGAUAUAAAAUUGCCUUUUGUAACUGAAUCUUAAAAAUGGAAGGUUACCAUGACUUGUCCUAUUGCAACCUGGUUAUCAGAAUAACUUAUUUUUUUUAAGAUAGCUAUUCUCAAAUACUGAACAUAUUUGCAUCUUUAAAGACACUUUAUUCUAUUCAAUUAUAGGUAAAGUAGCCUAUUUCUAGGUGGUUAGGCUUGAAAAGAUAGACUGAAAAGAUAGGAAAUUUUGUAUGCCUUUUUGCAAAUUGUAUUUACUUCUAAGACCGAUGCUGUUUUAGCUUAACUUUUAAAAAAGUGUUCUUCAAAUAAUUGUAAUAUUUUACACGAUCUUGAAGUUCUUCAAAUAAACAGAGUUUAGAAACUAAAAAUUAUAGUGGGAUUUUCUGGUUUUGAAGGCUUGGAAUGUAUGAUUCUUACUAAUAGAUGUUUUAUUCUUGUGAUUGAAAAUAAACCAAAUUAUGACAUGGAAUAUAAUAUUACUCUGGGUAAAGUUUGUGAUAUAUAUCUUCUGUGUGUUUUGUAAACAUAGAAAACUAGCAUGAUUAUCUCAUAUAUUCUUUUCAUUUAGAAGCCACAAAAGCUUUCACCUAAAUAUGCUACUAGUACUUAGCUCCUUAAAAAUUUUUUGGAAAAUCCCCCUCUAAGUUUUCUAAACAUGAUGUUCCUGUCAUUUUGAUUGAUUUUUGACAGUGUUUAUAUUUCUUUUUCAAAUGUCCAAUAUGCAGAUUGUUGUAACCUUCCCUUUGAACUAUUGUCUGUUAUAAGAAAAUAUACAUUACCUGCUAAAAAUUAAAACUUCCCUUCAGCCAAAUAAACUAUUUGUAUUUAACAGUG
This is a long non-coding RNA of Homo sapiens (human), 3050 nucleotides long. Lineage: Eukaryota; Metazoa; Chordata; Mammalia; Primates; Hominidae. The record is from Ensembl.